Molecule: non-coding RNA, 107 nt
Organism: Capsicum annuum
Lineage: Eukaryota; Viridiplantae; Streptophyta; Magnoliopsida; Solanales; Solanaceae
Source: Rfam
UAAUGGUGGUGAGGGCAAUUUCUAAGCAUACCCUUAAAUCUUUCCUAAGCUUAGUAAAAAUUUUCUCCUUCUUUCUGCCUGAAACUUAGAAUCUCACUUCUCAAGCA